UAACUGUUAUUUAUUACGAUAUUAUCUUAUGAUUUUUAUUUAAUAUAAUUAUUUUCGAAUUAUUAUAAAUUAAUGUUAAUUUCUUGUGAAUGUGCAGUGGGGAAGGAGGUGUAAGCGCUUGUAGCGUGAUGACAGCGAUGAGUUUUUUGGGUGCAUUGUUUCGCUUCCGUGCAGAAAUCUGGGGUUGCUGGUCUUUUCUGAAGCUUCCUGAGUUGAUCGUACAAGAAAGCCUCAAAAUGUCUAGUUGAUCGUAUUUCGCCACGCCAAGUGUUGGACCAGACAUUCCCGCUUUAUGGAAGGCAUCCACCUAAAGAAAAUUAUGUUAUUAUAACAUAAUUAAUGCAAUCAAAUGAUAUCGUCGUAGAGUGAUUUGUACAUCUCUGGUUACGGUCUCCAUGUUAAGAGUUUGCUGUUUAUCGGUGUUUGGGCAGCAUUUCAUAAUCCUUCUUCUUGGUAUUCUCGAUACUCGAGGACUAGGC
This is a long non-coding RNA of Apis laboriosa (Himalayan honeybee), 479 nucleotides long. RefSeq lists it as uncharacterized. The transcript has 4 exons. The record is from RefSeq and is a predicted model, not a curated record. NCBI's taxonomy places the organism in Eukaryota, Metazoa, Arthropoda, Insecta, Hymenoptera, Apidae.